Oxyura jamaicensis (ruddy duck) is the source of this 190-nucleotide long non-coding RNA. RefSeq lists it as uncharacterized. The transcript is spliced from 4 exons. NCBI's taxonomy places the organism in Eukaryota, Metazoa, Chordata, Aves, Anseriformes, Anatidae. The record is from RefSeq and is a predicted model, not a curated record.
AGUGCUGGCGGUGCCCAUCGCAGGGGAGAGCACAGAGCGGGUGCUGCAGCGCAGUGACCACCUCGGCUCUGCAGACACUGAAAGGACAGAGAGGGGCAGGGAGCAAGGAGGUGGCAGGGCAGAGGACACAGUGGGAGGGAAAAGGGGCUAGGGGACUAGCCCCGGCACUGCAGGCCCCAGGGCUCGUACU